Molecule: long non-coding RNA, 6391 nt
Filed under: Homo sapiens (human)
Lineage: Eukaryota; Metazoa; Chordata; Mammalia; Primates; Hominidae
Description: SLC25A25 antisense RNA 1
Source: RNAcentral
GCCUCCGUUCUCUGCAUCCCUCCACCCCAGUAUCCCUGCACCUCUUCAUCCCUCCAUUCCUGCAUCCCUCUAUUUUUCCAUCCCUCCAUUCCUGUAUCCCUGUGCCCUCCAUCCUCCAUCCCAGCAUCCCUCCAUCCCUGCUCCCCACUCUCACUUCCCUUCCCUUCACAGACAGGCUUUUCCUGCCAUCCUCAGACCCCACCCAGGGUUACCUGAUGCCUUUCCAGCUGCACACGGGGACUGACUCACCUCUCUCUUUCUCAGUCCCAAAGUCCCGAAAGAGAGCAUCUGAUGUGGUCAGCUUGUGACAAGGCGUCCACCUUCUGUCCAUGACAUGGAGGCCAGGGGAAGGUCUCACUGCCCAGCACCCCACCCUGUGCUCCCAGGCCUUUUGAAUGUUCCUCCUGCUCAGCCCAGUGACUGCGGGCUGUGGCUCCUCCUCCAGCCUCCCCUCGAGGUCCUGGUCUUACUUAGGAGGCCCCGGGUGUAGAUGCCUUCCCACCCACCAGGCAUUGCCCCUUUUCCUGGCUUCACAGACUCGGGAAUAAAGUUUCCUUCUGUUUCCCCUCUUGCAGAAGGAGAUCCGGUUGGCAGCUAAACCGCGCUGGGAACAGGGGCCUGAGUCCUGGACUAGGGCUCUUUCCCCGGGGCUGCUGCAGAUGGGGAGGAGCCUACACCCGCCUCCCGAGUGCUAAUCAGACCUGACAGGCUGGAGAAUGGCCAGUCAGCCUGAGGCCACCGCGGGACACCACCUAGGCCCAGCUUCUCCCCCCACCAGAGGGCGCCAGAGCCCGCCAAGCCUCGUAGGAGAUGGCAACAGGGCCUGCUGCUGCCACCUAGCGGCCAAUUCCGGGAAUGAAUCUCGGCACGCUCAUUACCCAGCGACUCUGCCCAUCUUGACCCUUUAUGUGAAGCAGAACAGCCGCUUCCGCAGUGAGCUGUCAGAAGGCGUCGUGCCUGUCUUGCUAGUGGGGAAACUGAGGCUCAGAGAGGCAGAAGACUUGCCCAAGAUCACACCACCGGGACCCAGGAUUCAAGCGCAGGCCUGCCCAGGCUCUCUGUGGCCUCCUGGCUGCGAGGAGGCAGCCAGGGACCAGGUGCCACCCUUCUGAGACACCUGAGAUCCCAGGCCCGAGAGGAUGAAGGCGGGAUUACCUGGAGCGUGUCUGAAUGCUGGAGGAAGAAGGGCAGCUGGGAGAUGAAGCUGUCAGGAUGGGCCGCAUCCCAUUUCCUGCCUCGUUUCAGUUCAACUUUCCAACAGACCUCCCUGGCUCGUCUUGCUCUUCUCUAAUGGACAAACAAACAGGCUCAGAGAGGUGGUGUGACUUGCCCAAGGUCACUCAGCUUGGAUGCUAUGGAACAGGGACGUCCACUGUCCCAGUCUGUUUAUGGGAAGCCGCUCUGCAACUGUCCUGACCCACCACAUGCCCCACCGCUGUUUCUCUUGCCCUGACCCCUUGUUCCCUGGACCAGGGUGGCACAGCUCCAGGCUCUUGGGCCCUUCCCGAGGGCAGGCACCUGUGACUGUGUCCCCAAAGACCUGAGUGGCUGAGGGGGCCCCACAGAGCUUGGACUUCCUGGAGGACAAGGAGGGGUCUGCCAGCCACCCCCACCACGCCCGCCCCAGGGCUCCCCUGGAGCUUCCAUGCCAGCCGGACUCAGGUGGGUCUGGAGGAGCACCGUGCCUCCAAUCAGACCUUGAGAUGUGCCCCCUGCCCCCACUGUGCCCUCCCCUGCCCAGGAGUCUGGUUGCAAACCCUGAUUAAGGGGAUUUUAUCUCCACCAGAGGGCCAGUAGGUGGGAAGUAGCUUAAACAAUGCAGGUUUAUAAUCUCACAGUUCUGGAGGUCAAGAGUCUGAAAUGGGCCUCAUGGGGCUAAAACCAAGGUGUCUGCAGGGCUGUGUUCCUUCUGGAGGCUCCAGGGCAGGAAGGGGAGGAUCCACUUCUGUGCCUUUCCAGCUUCUAGAGGCUGCCUGCGUUCCUUGGCUCGUGGCCCCUUCCUCCACCUUCAAGCCAGCAGCGGAGGCCUGAGUCCUUCUCAUGCCAUCUCUCUGUUCUCUCUCCUGCCUCCUCCUCCACACUGAAGGACCCCUGUGAUCACACUGGCCCCCCCACCGGAUGACCCAGGAUAAUCCAUCUCCCUGUUUGAAGGUCGGCUGAUUAGCAACCUUCAUUCCAUCUGCCUCCUUCAUUCCCCCUGGCCAUGUAAUGGGAUUCACAGCUUCUGGGGAUUAGGACAUGGACAUCUUGUGGCGGGGGCAUAAUUCUGUCGACGACACCAAGAAACACUUGGAUGUUAAGGAUUCACCGAACACUGUUCAGGCUGAGGCAGGAGAAUUGCUUGAACCUGGGAGGCAGAGGUUGCAGUGAGCCGAGAUCAUACCAUUGCACUCCAGCCUGGGCAACAAGAGUGAACCUCCAUCACAAAAAACAAACAACAAAAAAAAUCAGGUAUAAUUACAUACAGUGAAACAUAUGGUGACUCAAGUACACAGUUCAGUGUUUUUUUUGUUUUUGUUUUUUUUUAAGAUGGACUCUUGCUCUGUCGCCCAGGCUGGAGUUCAGUGGCGCGAUCUUGGCUCACUGCAACCUCUGUCUUCCAGGUUCAAGCAAUUCUGCCUCAGCCUCCCAAGUAGCUGGGACUACAAGUGCACGCCACCAUGCCUGGCUAAUUUUUGUAUUUUUAAUAGAGAUGGGGUUUUUUUUUCUUUCUUUUUUUUUUUUUUUGAGACAGGGUCUCACUCUGUCACCCAGGCUGGAGUGCAGUGUCACAAUCUCGGCUCACUGCAACCUCUGCCUCUUGGGUUCAAGCAAUUCUUCUGCCUCAGCCUCCUGAGUAGCUGGUAGCUGGGACUAUAGGCACGUGCCACCACACCCAGUUAAUUUUUUGUAUUUUUAGUAGAGAUGGGGUUUCACCGGGUUAGCCAGGAUGGUCUCAAUCUCUUGACCUCGUGAUCUGCCCGUUUUGGUCUCCCAAAGUGAUGGGAUUACAGGCGUGAGCCACCGCGCCAGGCUGAGAUGGGGUUUCACCACGUUGGCCAGGCUGGUCUGGAACUCCUGACCUCAGGUGAUCCGCCUGCCUUGGACUCCCAAAGUGCUGGGAUUACAGACGUGAGCCACCGUGCCCGGCCAGUUCUAUGAGUUUUGAUGAAUGUGUCCUGCUUCUUCCCAGGCUCCACCAUCUCUUCCCCUAAAGGCAACCACCAUUCUGAUUUCUCUCACCAAAGACUGGAAAAAUAUCCCAAUACCUGGAUGUAUGCCUCACGUGUCCCGCUGGCCCCAGCACCCAGGUAUAGUUAGUUACUGCUGUGCCUGGCUUCACUCUCACUUUUUUUUUUUUUUUCUUUUUUUGAGACAUAGUCUCGCUCUGUAGCCCAGGCUGGAGUGCAGUGUGGCACAAUCUCAGCUCACUGCAACCUUCACCUCCCAGGUUCAAGCGAUUCUCCUGCCUCAGCCUCUCGAGUAGCUGCGACUACAGGUGCCCACCACCACACCUGGCUAAUUUUUGUAUUUUUAGUAGAGAUGGGGUUUCACCUUGUUGGCCAGGCUGGUCUCGAACUCCUGACCUCAAGUGAUCCACCUGCCUCAGCCUCCCAAGGUGCUGGGAUUGCAGGCCGGCCUUACCUGGUAUGGUUUUUAGGUUCAUGUUGAUGCCUGGAGUUUCAGUAAUUCCCUCCCAUUCGUUGCUGAGUAGCACUGCAACACAUGCAGGCAGCUAUUUGGGGAUCUUUUCACCUGUUGAUGGGUGUCUGGACUGUUUCCAGUUUUUGGCUGUUACAAAUGAAGCCUCUGUGAGCCACGUACAAGUUCUUCUGUGGAUGUUUUCAUUUAGGGAAAGGGGUAAAUAGGAGUGGAAGUGCUGGGUCACAGGGCAAAUGUCCAUUUGAGUUUAUUAGAAACAAUUCUCCAAAAUGAUUGGCAUUUUACCUUGUACUAGCAGAGUCUAGGAGUGUGGCUGCUCCCAGAUUCUCAUCAAACUACAGUGCUGACAUCUUUAGUUCUAGGCCUUCUAGUGUGGAUGCACUGGUAUCUUGUUAAAUGCUUUUAACUGUUUUGGUAGAGAUGGGGCCUUGCUGUAUUGCAUAGUCUGGUCUUGAACACCUGGCCUCAAGUGAUCUCCAGCCUCACCCUCCCGAAGUGCUGGGAUUACAGGUGUGAGCCACUGCUCUGGGCCUCAUUCAGUGUUUUGCUUCUCCCUGACAACUAAUGGAGUUAAGCUCGUUUUCAUGUUUAUUGGCCAUUAAGUCAUCUUGCUUUUGGAAGUGCCAAUUGUUAACUGGCUUGUCCUCUUCUUUUUGCCUUACACAGUUAAUACAUGCUGGAGAUUACAUGUACUGCAAAGAUUUUCUCCUAGCCGGUGACUUGUCUUUUUCGUUUUUGUUUCUGUUUUUUUUUUUUUCUUUUUUUUUCUUUUCUUUUUUUCUGAGAUGGAGUCUCCUCGCUCUAUCGCCCAGGCUGGAGUGCAGUGGCAUGAUCUCAGCUCACUGAAACCACUGCCUCCCGGGUUCACGUGAUUGUCCUGUCUCAGCCUCCCGAGUAGCUGGGAUUACAGGCAUGCGCCACCAAGCACAGCUAAUUUUUGUAUUUUUAGUAGAGAUGGGGUUUUGCCAUGUUGGCCAGGCUGGUCUUAAACUCCUGACCUCAGGUGAUCCGCCCACCUCGGUCUCCCAAAGUGCUGGGAUUACAGGCGUGAGCCACCGCGCCUGCCCAGCUUAUCUAUUCAUUGGAGGAUCUGAGUGACAUGAGAAACUUAGGUUUUCUUUUUUUGAGACAGAGUCUUACUCUGUCGCCCAGGCUGGAGUGCAGUGGCAUGAUCUCGGCUCACCACAACCUCUGCCUCCUGGGUUCAAGCCAUUCUCCUGCCUCAGCCUCUGGAGUAGCUGGGAUUAUAGGCACCUGUCAUCACACCUGGCUAUCCACUUAGGUUUUCAAAGGGCCCCUUGGUCUUGGGGUGGAGAGUGAAGGGAAGCAGGGGGAAGAAGUUUAGGUCUUGCAAUCAUCCAGGUGAGACAUGAUAUUGUCUUUGAUCAGUGGCAGGGGUGGAGGUCGGGAGAAGCGGCCAGAGAGCAGAUCUAUUUUGCGGGUGGGGCUGACGGUAUUUGCUGGUGGACUGCCCUGGAACCAGAGGGAAGUACAGAGUCAGGUUGACUACAAGGUGUUUGGCUUAAGUUCGUAGAAGAAAGGAGUUGCCAUUUGCUGGCAUGAGGAAAAUGAAGAAGCAGAUUUUGGGAGGAAAAUGAAGGGUUCGGCUUCUGACAUGCUGAACUCGAGGUGCUGUUUAAGUGGAUGUGGAUUUCACAGUUGUACUGAUGAAGCUGGAAUUCGUUCAAGUAUCAAAGGAGUGUCAUCUAAAUAUAGAUAUUGAAGGUAAUCCUCAGUCAGAUGAGGUUACUGAGAGGGUGUGAGGAGGCAGGAGCGGGGUGAGGCUGGGAGGGGCAGCUGGGGGGAGGGGAGAGAAGCCCAGCGACGUCCUCGGUGUCUGUGAAGAUGGCACUUCCGGCGGAGGGAGAGAUCCCCCGCACCCUGCCUGAGACAGGCUGAGGAACGACCCUACACAGCAACUCAGGGCACCCCAAAUCGAACACGCAACCAUUAAAGAGGGAGCGCCUCUAAGAAGCCGAAAGGGGGCACCACCAGGCUCCAGAGGGGAAAACAGGGCGCAUUUUCUAACAUGUCAGCACCCCCAGACCACCCAGGCCCCCGUCAGAAAAAUACUGGCUCCAUGAUCAGCUUUGAAACAACUUUAUUAGAAGGCUGCUUUAAAUGACAACUUCUAACGUCCAAUUCUUUCUUAAUUUGCUUUUUGACGACUCCAGUUAUAUGUUCAUAUAUAACAAUUUUUGCAUUGAUCUUUGCAUCCUAUUGAAGAUUUCCUCAUCAGGUCAUUCUGGUGGAAUGGAAGUGCAACCGUGAGGUCGCCAGUUGGCCGGCAUUGUUAAGCAAGGGCAGCAGAAGGCUGGGAGGGACGGAGCCAGUCCCCCACCCUCUCCUCCAGCCCCCGCCCACCACAAAUUCACAGUGAGAGGCACCUCACUGCCUUGACAUUCAGAAAAGAGUGAAAUAAAGAAACCCUCGCAGCGCAGGAAAUAACUGGAUUCCACCUUCAAGGUUAUUGAGGUUCCUCCCUCUCUCUCCACGCCCCCAGUCAAACCCUGAAAUCCUAAGGCUGGGGGCAAGCCCUUCCCCAACCUGCCAAAGGAAAGGAGCCAGGGCUGCUGCCUUCUGGCCGCUUUUCUGCCUCCAGUCCCAAAAGGAAUUUCUCUGGACAGAUGUGACUGCAGCGGCCCAAGGCCCCCCUUCUCCUCCUCCUCCCAUCCCACUGGGCGGGCUUGGGAAGGUACAAUCAACCAUGAACAUAAAUAUGAAUAAAAAAUGAACUUGAAAAUGACAA